This 490-nucleotide ribosomal RNA is filed under the name uncultured bacterium. RNAcentral describes it as "partial 16S ribosomal RNA". It matches the Rfam family "Bacterial small subunit ribosomal RNA", at positions 28 to 507 of the family's 1533-position model. The record is from RNAcentral.
GAUGAACGCUAGCUACAGGCUUAACACAUGCAAGUCGAGGGGCAGCAUGGUCUUAGCUUGCUAAGGCCGAUGGCGACCGGCGCACGGGUGAGUAACACGUAUCCAACCUGCCGUCUACUCUUGGACAGCCUUCUGAAAGGAAGAUUAAUACAAGAUGGCAUCAUGAGUUCACAUGUUCACAUGAUUAAAGGUAUUCCGGUAGACGAUGGGGAUGCGUUCCAUUAGAUAGUAGGCGGGGUAACGGCCCACCUAGUCUUCGAUGGAUAGGGGUUCUGAGAGGAAGGUCCCCCACAUUGGAACUGAGACACGGUCCAAACUCCUACGGGAGGCAGCAGUGAGGAAUAUUGGUCAAUGGGCGAGAGCCUGAACCAGCCAAGUAGCGUGAAGGAUGGCUGCCCUAUGGGUUGUAAACUUCUUUUAUAAAGGAAUAAAGUCGGGUAUGUAUACCCGUUUGCAUGUACUUUAUGAAUAAGGAUCGGCUAACUCCGUG